RNAcentral lists this transfer RNA (101 nucleotides) under Odorrana ishikawae (Ishikawa's frog). RNAcentral's name for it is "tRNA-Ile". The stretch from base 31 to 101 matches the Rfam family "tRNA". Rfam says of the family: Transfer RNA (tRNA) molecules are approximately 80 nucleotides in length. Their secondary structure includes four short double-helical elements and three loops (D, anti-codon, and T loops). The record is from RNAcentral. Lineage: Eukaryota; Metazoa; Chordata; Amphibia; Anura; Ranidae.
UUUUCCUCCUCCUAGCCCCCCCUCUCUCAUGGAAGUGUGCCCGAAAGCAAAGGAUCUCCUUGAUAGGGAGACUCAUAGGGGUUCAAACCCCCUCACUUCCU